UACGGAGGGUGCAAGCGUUAAUCGGAAUUACUGGGCGUAAAGAGUGCGUAGGCGGUUAGGUAAGUUAUCUGUGAAAUCCCUGGGCUUAACCUAGGUAGGAAAGAUAAAACUGCUUGACUAGAGUGUGGUAGAGGAUAGUGGAAUUUCCGGUGUAGCGGUGAAAUGCGUAGAGAUCGGAAGGAACACCAGUGGCGAAGGCGGCUAUCUGGACCAACACUGACGCUGAGGCACGAAAGCGUGGGGAGCAAACAGGAUUAGAUACCCUGGUAGUCCACGCCGUAAACGAUGUCAACUUACUGUUGGUCACAUUAAAGUGAUUAGUAGUGAAGCUAACGCGAUAAGUUGACCGCCUGGGGAGUACGGUCGCAAGAUUA
RNAcentral lists this ribosomal RNA (374 nucleotides) under uncultured prokaryote. Its description in RNAcentral is "bacterial SSU rRNA". It matches the Rfam family "Bacterial small subunit ribosomal RNA", at positions 524 to 896 of the family's 1533-position model. The record is from RNAcentral.